CAUCUCAUUCCUCUUUUUCUCGUCUUUUCGUUUUCUCGUAUACGCAAACGACCGACGCCUCUCCGCGCCUCUCUCCAUAUCCUCACGUUCUCUCCCAUAUCAUCCUUUCUCCUCUUCUCCGCCCGCGAGCUGACGAGAUGAUGCAGCUGUCGGACUGGUUCUCGCAGGUGCAGUACCUGCACGCGCGCCGCGAGAAGGGGUUGCAUCCGGUUAACGAGAUGAACCGAUUCACCAUCCUUGUGUGCGGGCUGUUCUGCGGGAUCUGCGUAUCGUUGCCUUACACGUUCGACCUGUACACGACGCAGCUCCGCGACCAGUUUGAGCUGUCCGCCGGCGACCUCUCGACAGUGAGCACUGUAGGACUUGUGUUCUUCUUCUUUCUGCUGCCGUUCAGCGUGAUCUUCGAAAUGUUCGGGCCGUUCGCGAACUUCAUGAUCUGCCUUGCCACGGGCGUGAUCGGGACGGUGGGCCUUGCGCAGACCUUCUCCGGCGCGAUCCCCGGCAACGUGACGACGAUCAGCAUGUUCUACGCGUUCCUGAACCUGGCGAGUGGGCUGAUCGACACGACGUACAUCUCGACGUUGUUCGAGGUAUUCCCGCGCAACCGCGGCCCUGUCGUGUGCCUCGCGAAGGUGAUGACGGGGCUGGGCAGCACGAUCUUUGCGUGCCUGAGCACGACGCUGUUCAAGGGCAGCUUGAUCGGGUUCAUCUACUUCCUGUGCGCGUUCAUCGCCGUUGUGACGGUGUGCGCGAGCGCGCUGAUUGUGCUACCGCUGUACUACAUGAACUGGUGGCGGCUGCGCGGGAAGAGCGCCGAGGAGGUUGCGCUGCUGCGCACGACAAAGCCGCUGUACGAGUACAAGUUCGUGCCUGUACGGCGCCUAAUAGUGGGAUACGCGGUCGUGCUGACGUUGAUCGUGUUCUUCACUGUGGAGACACCGGUUGUGUCGUACGUGAGCCGCUUGCCGCGCUCGGUGGAGUUGACGAUUGGCGUUGUGGUCUCCGUACUGACGCUGUGCCUGUUCCUGAUGCUGCUGCCGCUGCGGUGGCUCGGCGGGAUGGACGAAGCCGCGCCGUUGGAUUUCGAGCUGCGCGCGAUCGCGCUGUCGUACGAGGCAUCUGCGUCGGAGCGCGACGCGUCGGCCGGCGCAGCGGUGGCGGACGCGAUGCCGACAGGGGGCAAUGCUUCUGUGAGCAUGAACAACUCGCCGGCGUCGACGGAGAGCGACGCGGAGGGCGGCGCUGCGAGGGCGGCGUCGGAGUUGGACUCGUGGCAGGACCCACGCUACCCGGGCUCGACGGUGCUGGACUAUUUGAAAUCGCUGGACCUGUGGCUGAUUCUGCUGUACAUGUUCUGUGUUUCCCCGAUGGGGAUCAUAAUGUCGUACAACGGGAGCACGAUUUCAAUCGCGAAAACGGGGAAUCCGCGGAGCACGCAGACGGCUGCGCUGUACACCGCGUUCAUUGGCCUGGGCAACAGCGUGGGCCGCAUCGCAUUCGGGCUGUUCGAAGCGUAUGUGCAACACACGAAGGGCUUGAGCGGGCGCCGCCGCGUGCUGGUGACUGCUGCGCUGUUCGUGAGCCCGACACUAGCGACCGUUGGUGGUGUGCUGCUGCUUGUGCUGCCAGGCAAGCUGAUUCUGCUUCCAUACAUUGUUGUGUACAUCAUGAAUGGCUUCAGCGCGGCGCUGCAGGCUCUAAUCUUCACGUGCCUGUUCGAGAGCUUCCACAACACGCUGUACAACAUGGCGUUCAUGGUGAUGGUGAUUUGCGUGAUUGUGUUCAACCGGCUCCUGUUCGGCAUGUACGUCGACAUGCAGCACCGCAAGCUGCGGCUGAGCGCGUCGCAGGAGUGCAACCGCGCAGUGUGCAUCGAGACGCCGUUCAUUGUUGCGACGUGCCUUGCUGCCGGCGGGCUGCUUGUUGCGGGGCUUGCUCACGUGCGGUACGCGCGGUUUGUUGCGCGCGUGCAGGAGUGGCGGCCCGGGGCGUCGAAGCCGACGAAGUGCUGUUCUCCCCACUCACGCCCGUAACGCUUUUUCUGUCUUAUUGUUUUUCACGGCUGUAGCCGUGCCUGCCUGCGUGUGCAGGCAACUAGUGAAGAGAAAGAGCGACGAAUGAACCUCCGCCGGCGCUGCUGAAGAGGACGCAGCGUCAUGUCAGAAUAAAAAGGGAAACUUGGGGACAAACCCGCCCUUUGUUGGCAUGGUGGCCUUCCUUUUUGCUUGUCUUGCUUUUACUUUAUUUUGUGUGUGUUUGUGCUGCCAACGGGGCGUACUUGCAUCGUGAGCCGGUCGCUCGCGUUGGCACGUUGCCCUCCCUCCCUUCACCCUCCCUCGAACUUGUCUCUCUUGUCCGCGACAGUGACGCAGUCUGAAAUCCUCUUUACCCAUCCGCGUGCAUGUACCGGCUCCCAUACACGGACUUCUUCACAUGCACUCGUAGGUGCGAGUGCGGGCGGCAGCGGAUGCGUUAAACGACUGUGAACGGACGAGAGCGGCGACAACGCCUCCGCAUAUCUACUGUCCCCUUCUCUCCCGUUUUGCAACCGCUGCGCCUUCGCGUAUGCCCCUCUCCACCCACAGCUGCGCACACGAGGGCACGGGCGCACGGCGGCGUUAUUGGAGAGAGGGGAGCGGGUGCGUGCGUGGUGGCGGCUCACGUAACUUCUUUUUUCUUUUCUCUGAUGUGUUUAUCCCUCUUUCUUUCCUCUUGUGUUUCUCCACAUGCACAAACACACACAAGCACAGCCCCCCUCCCCCUCCCUUCCUAAUGUUUCUGUCGUCAUCUCGAGCCGCCCACUUUGCAGCUAAGCGAGUGGAGCAGCGCCCCCCCCCCCCCCCGCGCGACGACGGCGGCAAACACGAGAAAAAUGGAGGCCGCCACGCCCUUUGGUUUGUCUUGUGGCUCUAUACUCGGCCCCUCUCCACCACUGUGCGUGCCGGCCGGCCUGCGUGCGUGCUCAUCGACUGUUUCUUGUGUGCCAUGGCUACGCUACCCACCACUGAAACGCACGCGUGCGUGAGAGGGAGAGACUUGUUCUCUGGUAUCCACCCCCUCCUUUCCCUCCCCUCUCCUCCCCGUAG
This 3086-nucleotide unclassified non-coding RNA is filed under the name Leishmania donovani. Its description in RNAcentral is "gene:LdHU3.21.2300(CDS-product:hypothetical_prote in_conserved)". Lineage: Eukaryota; Euglenozoa; Kinetoplastea; Trypanosomatida; Trypanosomatidae. The record is from RNAcentral.